UGAGGAAUAUUGGUCAAUGGGCGCAAGCCUGAACCAGCCAUCCCGCGUGCAGGAAGACGGCCCUAUGGGUUGUAAACUGCUUUUCCAGGGGGAGAAACUUGCGCACGUGUUGCGCAAUUGACGGUACCCUGGGAAUAAGCAUCGGCUAACUCCGUGCCAGCAGCCGCGGUAAUACGGAGGAUGCGAGCGUUAUCCGGAUUCAUUGGGUUUAAAGGGUGCGUAGGCGGACUAUUAAGUCAGUGGUGAAAUCCUGCAGCUUAACUGCAGAACUGCCAUUGAUACUGAUAGCCUUGAGUUUGGUUAAGGUAGGCGGAAUGUGUAAUGUAGCGGUGAAAUGCUUAGAUAUUACACAGAACACCAAUUGCGUAGGCAGCUUACUGAACCAUAACUGACGCUGAGGCACGAAAGCGUGGGGAGCGAACA
This 423-nucleotide ribosomal RNA is filed under the name uncultured prokaryote. RNAcentral's name for it is "bacterial SSU rRNA". It matches the Rfam family "Bacterial small subunit ribosomal RNA", at positions 355 to 774 of the family's 1533-position model. The record is from RNAcentral.